AUGCAGACGGUCUUCCUCUGACGCCACUUCCUAGGAGGUGAGCGCGCGCAUUUUAAAGACAUAGUAAACUUGUUUAAAACGCUGUUUUCGUGGGUUUACAGUCACCUGGAGCUUCAUUCACAAUGCCACUUUGCAGCCUUGAUGGAAAAUGCGAGAAAGAGAAGCGUCAAGAAUCAAUGGAUUCCUCGACUGUUACUAAGAACCUUUUGCAGUGAGUGCCAUGAAGCCGGGGCUUCCCCUCUGAGGUGCUGUUAGCCUGUGGACUGGAGAUUUGAAGGUAGUCGUCUGAGUUGCUUUCCCCUGCAUCUAUUUCACCACAGAAAUAGAGAUGGAAAAGCACGUCGGAUCAUGGGACAACCACAGCUGUGCACUUCCCUUCUUAUCCCUUUUCCGGCUGUCGUGUGUGUGUGUUGGUCUCAGAAAGCAAUCUCACGGUAAUGAAAUCACACGCGCACACAUCCACCUGGCCAAUCUCUCUGUAAUGAAGGCUGCUUGCACACACACCUGGGACAAGGAGGAUCCAGACAGGCCCGGACACAGACCAUCACGCUGGCAGGCCGGAGAGCAGCUCAUGCAAUGGCACAGGUUUCCCCCGCAGGCGCCAGUUUCAUUUAAAGGAGGGAGAAGGAGACGCUGCUCUGGCCAAUCAGCUGACAGACUGACUGACAGGAGGGACGCUGGGCUGUAGCAGAGUUUAAUAAAGCUCCUGUUGUCAGCGGUAAAUAAGAAGAUUAAAGUGCCCCAUUAUGCGCUUUCAGACAUUACCUUUCAUCCAGUGUUUAAUGUAGCUGCUUGUGAAAGUUUCAAAGAUCAACUUGAGCUUGUGACUUCCAAAAGAAAGAACCAAUUGUGAACAGUCUGAAGUAAUAAGUCCUGUAGUGCAUAAACCUGCAAAUAAAUAACGAAUUAGCAUAAUG
Molecule: long non-coding RNA, 917 nt
Filed under: Danio rerio (zebrafish)
Lineage: Eukaryota; Metazoa; Chordata; Actinopteri; Cypriniformes; Danionidae
Description: si:dkey-38c18.2 (ENSDARG00000098482.2)
Source: RNAcentral